CGCCGCCAGGGAGCGGGGCGGGGCCGCGGGCGCCUGCUCCAAUGAGCGGCGCGGGGGGGGCGCGUCCUCCCUUCCCGUGGUGCAUUGCGUCAAGCGGCGGCACUGGCGGCCUCGACUCCAUCCGGGUCCUGGGCACUACUCUGGGUCACCCUGCGGCAGGUUACACAGCAAGUGACCAGUGUCUUCCCAUGAGUCAGGAAGGAUCUUACUUGCUCUUCUUCCUGCAAAGAAGAUGAAGUGGAUGGAGCCUCUUUCAACAGAAUUUCUCAAAAUUCUAUAUUUUGUUUGGAUUAAGUGACUUUAGCAACCACUAGUUGACGCUAGUUCCCCCUUCCUUUUUAAACAAGUGGGAGAAUGGUUUGGUGGGCACAACUUGCAGGUAUUACGCCACAAUCUAGUAAUUAACAUGGAUAAAUUACAAAAAAUCUCGUUUCUGAAAUUGGUGUAAUUUGUUUCAAAGAAAAUGAGAACCAGCUCCUCACGUAAGUACACCCAGUUUAAUCUUUUUAAAUGUGUUCUGGAAGUUCAUUGAAAAUUUUAGAAAUGAUUCGUGCUAUAUAUGAAUGGGUGACAAAAUGAUGAUAGUAUCUGAAGAUGCCAGUCAGGAUCAAGACUCAUUUGUGGUAGUACUUUAAUAAUAUAAUGGAAAACCCUGAUGGAACAGUUUAAAAGGAUGCAGAAAGGAAGGAUGAUUUAAAUGCACUGUAAUUUUACACAGGUUCAAAGUCAUGGUCAUUUUACAUGUAGCUAGCCUACCUAAAGAUCCUGAAUAUCUUUCAGGAGUGAGGAAGUUGUAAUGGGAGGGAGACCACGGAGUACACAAGUGUUGAAGAAAUGGCUGGUGGUGUAGGAAAGUUUGAGGAGUAAUGGGGUGGGGGGAAAUGGGAUGUGCAUGCUGCAGGUGAGUGAAAUUUGGAAGUGGAGGUAUUGUGCAGGGAGUAAUCUUUUGCAGAAUGAUCAAUAAAAUCUUAGUAUUGGGAAUCA
RNAcentral lists this long non-coding RNA (984 nucleotides) under Crocodylus porosus (Australian saltwater crocodile). RNAcentral's name for it is "lncRNA (ENSCPRG00005019146.1)". The record is from RNAcentral. Lineage: Eukaryota; Metazoa; Chordata; Crocodylia; Crocodylidae.